RNAcentral lists this ribosomal RNA (481 nucleotides) under uncultured bacterium. RNAcentral describes it as "partial 16S ribosomal RNA". It matches the Rfam family "Bacterial small subunit ribosomal RNA", at positions 28 to 506 of the family's 1533-position model. The record is from RNAcentral.
GACGAACGCUGGCGGCGUGCUUAACACAUGCAAGUCGAACGAUGAAGCAGAGAAACGCGCACUUCGGUUCAAAUUUCACUUCGGAUUAGUGGCAGACGGGUGAGUAACGCGUGAGCAACCUACCUCUUACAAAGGGAUAGCCUCGGGAAACCGUGAUUAAUACCAUAUGACACAUUCAUAAGGCAUCUUAAGAAUGUUAAAGCUACGGCGGUAAGAGAUGGGCUCGCGUCCCAUUAGCUAGUUGGUGAGGUAACGGCCCACCAAGGCGACGAUGGGUAACCGGCCUGAGAGGGUGAACGGUCACAUUGGAACUGAGACACGGUCCAAACUCCUACGGGAGGCAGCAGUGGGGAAUAUUGCACAAUGGAGGGAACUCUGAUGCAGCGACGCCGCGUGAGCGAUGAAGGAAUUCGUUUCGUAAAGCUCUGUUCUAUGGGAAGAAAAGGACUGUACCAUAGGAGAAAGCCCCGGCUAAAUACGU